GCCUACAGCCACACCACCCUGAAAGCACCCGAUUCCUCCCGAUCUCAGAAGUUAAGCAGGGUCGGGCCUGGUUAGUACUUGGAUGGGAGAUAAAAUUAAAUAAAUUCCCAUUCACUGGCC
This is a non-coding RNA of Podarcis lilfordi (Lilford's wall lizard), 120 nucleotides long. Lineage: Eukaryota; Metazoa; Chordata; Lepidosauria; Squamata; Lacertidae. The record is from the annotation of a GenBank genome assembly.